Molecule: long non-coding RNA, 1188 nt
Filed under: Toxoplasma gondii VEG
Lineage: Eukaryota; Apicomplexa; Conoidasida; Eucoccidiorida; Sarcocystidae
Source: RNAcentral
GUACUCGUCCACCUUCUCCUUGAUUCUGGAGGAGUGAGUAGGGGAGACAGAGAGUCGGUUGAGUGUGGACUCAUGUGAGCAGACUGGAUCUCAAAGUGGUUGUUUGCGCGGGCGUGGAUGCAUACGCAUAUGCGGUUUUUAAGUUGAUUUGUAGUGCUGAAUGCAUGUAAUCAAAUCGUGGCCUAUUCUACGGAGUGUUAUUUUAUGCGUCCUGCUCCCUUAGGUGCUUACUCUCCUUACGCCUCUAACGUGACUUCUCCGUUUGUCUUCAAUUUCUUCGGCAUUUGCGCGUCUCCAACAGUGUCACGCCGGCCUCGGCUCUUAGACAGGAUUGGGAGCAACAUCCUGGCGAAGAAGGCAGAGAAAAAAGCGUUCUUUUCUCAGCUCUCCUGGACCUGCCAGAAGGAAAAACGUCGCGUCUUCCAUCAGACCUUCGAAGCAUACUACGCAUGCACCGGAAAGUCUUAGAGAAAUGAGAAUCGCGGCUCCAAGAUACUAAAUGUAAUGCCUGUAUGGCUGAACAUGUAUACAUACAUUAUGUAUAUAUAUGUAUAUAUGAGUGGUUAUAUGCAAAUACAUUUACGUGUGGAUACCCAUGCUUUCACAGGCUCACAAACGAGGCGGCAAGUAGGCCUAUAUGUACAUGUCUAUGUAUACAAAUAAUCCUGUUUAGGCGUGUAGAGAGACAGAGAAACUCGUGUACAAAUGAUACACCUGGGCCAGUUGUUGGGUCUUACGGCUUUAUUGUCGAGGACGCGUUGAGUCGACUGCUCGGAGAAUGGCGAGGAGAACAGCAUUCAUCCUUCACAGAACCAGUGCACAUGCAUCAGUGAGAAGGAUUGAAGAGGUUUGCAUGCCCUGUCAUGCAGGUGCGACAUGACCAGCAAGCCCCGCCACACAGAGAAGGACUUUUCGUCUUCUCGAGCGUAUGUUCUGGUUUCGUCUGCCACUGUGAAUGAGAACAUCCGACAGGAAACAUGUGGACUGAUACAGAAUCGUUCAGGAAAGUGUUUGGAACUGCGUUAGGGCGCAGGUUUGUGUCAUUGCGUAUAGUCUAGCUGUCGUGUUAUAUCACUAUAUAGGGAUACGCAUGCUUCUUCGCACAGGAGCUGGCAGGAAUAUCGUUCCUUCUCUGCCUCAAACGUACUUCGAGAGUCGUUAUAUUAUUUCCGCGGUUGCUGCAAAGGC